RNAcentral lists this ribosomal RNA (479 nucleotides) under uncultured bacterium. RNAcentral describes it as "partial 16S ribosomal RNA". The stretch from base 52 to 479 matches the Rfam family "Bacterial small subunit ribosomal RNA", at positions 38 to 507 of the family's 1533-position model. The record is from RNAcentral.
GGGGGGGGGGGGGGGGGGGCGGGGGGGGGGGGGGGCGGGCGGGGGGGGGGGGGCGGGGCGCGGGGGGGGGAAGAGGAAAUGGAGUAGCGGCGGACGGGUGGGUAACGCGUGAGUAACCGGCCGUUGACAUGGGGGUAGCCUCGGGAAACUGGGAUUAAUACCAAAUGACACUAACUGAUCACAUGAUCAAUUAGUCAAAGAAAUUCGGUCAAAGAUGGACUCGCGGCUGAUUAGCUAGUUGGUGAGGUAACGGCCCACCAAGGCGACGAUCAGUAGCCGGCCUGAGAGGGUGAUCGGCCACAUUGGAACUGAGACACGGUCCAAACUCCUACGGGAGGCAGCAGUGGGGAAUAUUGCACAAUGGGGGAAACCCUGAUGCAGCGACGCCGCGUGAGCGAAGAAGGCCUUCGGGUCGUAAAGCUCUUUUAUGAGGGAAGAUAAUGACGGUACCUCAAGAAAAAGCCCCGGCUAACUACGUG